Long non-coding RNA from Anolis carolinensis (green anole), 1546 nucleotides. RefSeq lists it as uncharacterized. Lineage: Eukaryota; Metazoa; Chordata; Lepidosauria; Squamata; Anolidae. The record is from RefSeq and is a predicted model, not a curated record. The transcript is spliced from 3 exons.
AGCAGGACAGUGUCGACUCAGAGCAAGAGCCUGGGUAUAGAUUUCAAACACAUCUCCAAUUGGACAGGAUCCAAUACAGAGCACCUAAUUUGAAGAACUAUUCACACAUGCAAAUUCCUCUUGGGUGAUUCUUUUAAAAGAUGUUUCAUUAAUCCUUCUGUAUUCACAGAUCCUAUCACUGCUGUUUAUUCCAGAAUGUGCCAUAUUGACGAUCUUUCAACAGAACCUCAGACAAUGAAGUUAUCUGCUACACAGAAGAAUGAGGAGCCUCCAGUGGCGCAGCGGAUUAAACCGCAGGGCUGCUGAACUUGCUGACCAAAAGGCUGGCAGUUUGAAUCCGGGGAGCGGUGUGAGCUCCCACUACUUAGCCCCAGCUUCUGUCAACCUAGCAGUUCAAAAACAUGCAAAUAGCUAGUGUUGUGACUGCGCCUUCGGGGAUUAUGGUUGAUGGUGAUGGGAUCCGAAGAGGAAGAAAAAACCCUCAUUCACUGGAGGAGUUGCGCAGGAAGCUACUUAGAGAGCUAUAUGGGGGAUCUUCUGAGGAAGAUUCAGAUGGGGAGUUUGGGGAAAUGGAUGCUGAGGAACAGGUGGUGGCUGGGGAAGUGGGCACUGAAUGGGCACAGCCACCAGAGAUGUCUGGGGAUUUGGGGCCUAUGGAUACUACUGAACCUGGGGUUUCUGCAGGAGCUGAUCCCACUUGGGAUGCUUGGAGAAGGGAGGAUGGUUCUUUAAGUGUUCAUGGGGCUAAGUAUGGGCAGGAUGAUUGGGACUCCGAUGAAUUGCUAGGUACUCCAGAUCCACGAGCUCUAGCUGUGUGGAGUUCGGACUCUGAGUAGAUUUGGGACACUUGGUGUUUGGGUGUGAGUGUUUGGUCACCCAGGAGGAAGGGGAAUAAAAUGGGAAUGUUUGGCCAAUGCACUUUGCGUGUGGCAAGGUGUUGCUGAGGCGCCAUUGGGAUCUCUGUGUUUCCGUGAAGACUGGACUUGGACUGUGAUUCGGAUCUGCUGAUACCAUCUGGCUUGGCUCUCGCUGUGUCUUAUCGUGGACCUGGUUUGGAUGACUGCACCCUCUUCGGACUUUGGAUUGAAUUUGACCUGGCUUCUGUCUACGCUCCCUGACUGACGACUACUCCCGGCUUCUGGCUUCUGGAAUUUGCUGCUGCCUCCUGACCUGACCUUGGAUUCUUCUGACGACGGCUAUUCAUCAUCCCUUUGAAGCUCUCGGCUUUAUCUGCACCGUGGAAGCAGUUUUACUGCUCUUCUAGUUUGUUUGUUUUUAAGCCAGUUUGCUGUUUUUCUUUUGGGAACUGUCCCUUUAACUCUGCAGCUUUUGGAAGGUUGCAAGCCUUCGUUUAUUUUGCAUGUUAUUGCAGUCAACUCUAUUUGUUUCUUCUAAGCUGAAUUGAAGCGUCCUUAGUUUUUAUUGAAUGCCAGCAUGGGAAAAUAGCAUGGCUUGUUUUUGUGUUAUUUUUGGCUUAUCUUCAGAAUAAACUCUGUUUUGUUUGUUAACUGGCGUCUAACUCUUGACAGCUAGUUUAUUGUUUUUC